RNAcentral lists this ribosomal RNA (442 nucleotides) under uncultured ammonia-oxidizing beta proteobacterium. RNAcentral describes it as "bacterial SSU rRNA". It matches the Rfam family "Bacterial small subunit ribosomal RNA", at positions 198 to 621 of the family's 1533-position model. The record is from RNAcentral. Lineage: Bacteria; Pseudomonadati; Pseudomonadota; Betaproteobacteria.
GGAGGAAAGCAGGGGAUCGCAAGACCUUGCGCUUUUGGGGUGGCCGAUGCCUGAUUAGCUAGUUGGUGGGGUAAUGGCCUACCAAGGCGACGAUCAGUAGCCGGUCUGAGAGGACGACCAGCCACACUGGGACUGAGACACGGCCCAGACUCCUACGGGAGGCAGCAGUGGGGAAUUUUGGACAAUGGGCGAAAGCCUGAUCCAGCAAUGCCGCGUGAGUGAAGAAGGCCUUCGGGUUGUAAAGCUCUUUCAGUCGAGAAGAAAAGGUUGUGACUAAUAAUCACAACUCAUGACGGUAUCGACAGAAGAAGCACCGGCUAACUACGUGCCAGCAGCCGCGGUAAUACGUAGGGUGCGAGCGUUAAUCGGAACUACUGGGCGUAAAGGGUGCGCAGGCGGCUUUGUAAGUCAGAUGUGAAAUCCCCGGGCUUAACCUGGGAAU